CCCAGACUCCUACGGGAGGCAGCAGUGGGGAAUAUUGGGCAAUGGAGGAAACUCUUACCCAGCAAUGCCGCGUGAAUGAAGAAGGUCUUCGGAUUGUAAAGUUCUUUAAUUGGGGACGAAAAAAAUGACGGUACCCAAGGAAUAAGCCCCGGCUAACUACGUGCCAGCAGCCGCGGUAAUACGUAGGGGGCAAGCGUUAUCCGGAUUUACUGGGUGUAAAGGGAGCGUAGACGGUCCUGCAAGCCAGAUGUGAAAGCCCGGGGCUCAACCCCGGGACUGCAUUUGGAACUGUAAGGCUAGAGUGUCGGAGAGGCAGGCGGAAUUCCUAGUGUAGCGGUGAAGUGCGUAGAUAUUAGGAGGAACACCAGUGGCGAAGGCGGCCUGCUGGACGAUGACUGCCGUUGAGGCUCGAAAGCGUGGGGAGCAAACAGGAUUAGAUACCCCCGUAGA
Molecule: ribosomal RNA, 450 nt
Filed under: uncultured bacterium
Lineage: Bacteria
Description: bacterial SSU rRNA
Rfam family: Bacterial small subunit ribosomal RNA
Source: RNAcentral